RNAcentral lists this ribosomal RNA (464 nucleotides) under uncultured bacterium. Its description in RNAcentral is "bacterial SSU rRNA". It matches the Rfam family "Bacterial small subunit ribosomal RNA", at positions 917 to 1382 of the family's 1533-position model. The record is from RNAcentral.
GGGCCCGCACAAGCGGUGGAGCAUGUGGUUCAAUUCGACGCAACGCGAAGAACCUUACCCAGGCUUGAACUGCAGAUGACAUCCUACGAAAGUAGGCUUCCGCAAGGACAUCUGUAGAGGUGCUGCAUGGCUGUCGUCAGCUCGUGUCGUGAGAUGUUGGGUUAAGUCCCGCAACGAGCGCAACCCUUGUCUUCUGUUGCCAUCGGGUUAUGCCGGGCACUCUGAAGAGACUGCCGGUGACAAACCGGAGGAAGGUGGGGAUGACGUCAAGUCAGCAUGGCCUUUAUGUCUGGGGCCACACACGUGCUACAAUGGCCGGUACAAACCGUCGCGAUCUCGCGAGAGGGAGCUAAUCGGAGAAAGCCGGUCUCAGUUCGGAUUGUAGGCUGCAACUCGCCUGCAUGAAGUUGGAAUCGCUAGUAAUCGCGGAUCAGCACGCCGCGGUGAAUACGUUCCCGGGCCUU